This 253-nucleotide ribosomal RNA is filed under the name uncultured bacterium. RNAcentral's name for it is "partial 16S ribosomal RNA". It matches the Rfam family "Bacterial small subunit ribosomal RNA", at positions 524 to 776 of the family's 1533-position model. The record is from RNAcentral.
UACGGAGGGUGCAAGCGCUAUCCGGAUUUACUGGGUUUAAAGGGUGCGUAGGUGGGUCUGUAAGUCCGUGGUGAAAUCUCCGAGCUUAACUUGGAAACUGCCAUGGAUACUAUAGGUCUUGAAUACUGUGGAGGUCAGCGGAAUAUGUCAUGUAGCGGUGAAAUGCUUAGAUAUGACAUAGAACACCAAUUGCGAAGGCAGCUGGCUACACAAAUAUUGACACUGAGGCACGAAAGCGUGGGGAUCAAACAGG